Molecule: ribosomal RNA, 468 nt
Filed under: uncultured bacterium
Lineage: Bacteria
Description: partial 16S ribosomal RNA
Rfam family: Bacterial small subunit ribosomal RNA
Source: RNAcentral
GACGAACGCUGGCGGCGUGCUUAACACAUGCAAGUCGAACGGAAAGGCGCUGCUCUUGUGGCGUGCUCGUGUGGCGAACGCGUGAGUAUCACGCGUGUAACCUGUCCCUGACUUUGGGAUAACUUCAGGAGACUGGGGCUAAUACCCGAUAUGAGAUUCUGAUGCAUGGUGUUGGUUGGAGAGUGUCGGCGGUUCGGGAUGGACUCGCUGCUUAUCAGCUUGCUGGUGUGGUAGUUGCUUACCAAGGCUUCGACGGAUAGCCGGCCUGAGAGAGGGAACGGCCACAUUGGGACUAAGAUACGGCCCAGACGGCUACGGUAGGCAGCGGGGGGAAAUAUUGCGGAAUGGGCGGAAGCCUGAUGCAGCAACCCCGGGUGCGGGAUGACGGCCUACGGGUUGUAAACCGCUUUCGACGGAGACGAGGAGUGAGUGACGGUAAUGAGUAAGGAAGCACCGGCUAACUACGUG